RNAcentral lists this ribosomal RNA (1205 nucleotides) under metagenome. Its description in RNAcentral is "bacterial LSU rRNA". It matches the Rfam family "Bacterial large subunit ribosomal RNA", at positions 1564 to 2782 of the family's 2925-position model. The record is from RNAcentral.
UGAUGGGGAAGCCCUUCAGGGCGAAGUAGCUGAUUUCACACUGCCAAGAAAAGCUUCUAUCGAGUUUAAAGGCGCCCGUACCGUAAACCGACACAGGUGGGUGAGGAGAGUAUCCUAAGGCCAGCGAGAGAACUAUUGUUAAGGAACUCGGCAAAAUGACCCCGUAACUUAGGGAGAAGGGGUGCCUGUCUAUGACAGGCCGCAGAGAAUAGGCCCAAGCGACUGUUUACCAAAAACACAGGUUUCUGCUAAGUCGCAAGACGAUGUAUAGGAGCUGACGCCUGCCCGGUGCUGGAAGGUUAAGGGGAUCUGUUAGAGCAAUCGAAGCAGUGAACUUAAGCCCCAGUAAACGGCGGCCGUAACGAUAACGGUCCUAAGGUAGCGAAAUUCCUUGUCGGGUAAGUUCCGACCCGCACGAAAGGCGUAACGAUUUGGGCACUGUCUCAACAAUAGACUCGGUGAAAUUGUAAUCCCGGUGAAGAUGCUGGUACCUGCGACAGGACGGAAAGACCCCAUGGAGCUUUACUGUAGCUUGACGUUGGGUCUUGGUACUACAUGUACAGGAUAGGUGGGAGACUAUGAAGCAUGGACGGCAGUCUGUGUGGAGUCAUCCUUGGGAUACCACCCUUGUAGUACUGGGAUCCUAACCAUAGGCCUUGAAUCAGGUCUUGGAACACCGUCAGGUGGGCAGUUUGACUGGGGCGGUCGCCUCCUAAAAAGUAACGGAGGCGCUCAAAGGUUUCCUCAGCACGGUCGGAAAUCGUGCGAAGAGUGUAAAGGCAAAAGGAAGCUUGAUUGCAAGACAUACAGGUCGAGCAAGGACGAAAGUCGGACUUAGUGAUCCGGUGGUACCGCAUGGAAGGGCCAUCGCUCAACGGAUAAAAGCUACCCUGGGGAUAACAGGCUUAUCUCCCCCAAGAGUCCACAUCGACGGGGAGGUUUGGCACCUCGAUGUCGGCUCAUCACAUCCUGGGGCUGUAGUAGGUCCCAAGGGUUGGGCUGUUCGCCCUCUAAAGUGGUACGCGAGCUGGGUUCAGAACGUCGUGAGACAGUUCGGUCCCUAUCCGUCGCAGGCGUAGGAAAUUUGAGAAGACCUGUCCUUAGUACGAGAGGACCGGGAUGGACGUACCUCUGGUGUACCAGUUGUUCUGCCAAGGGCAUGGCUGGGUAGCUAUGUACGGAAUGGAUAAGCGCUGAAAGCAUCU